UGGUUAGACUUUAGGUAUUUGAUUUAUCUUCCUGGACGCUUCUAAUUCCUUCUGAUACGCCUGGAGCAGCGAAAGCGACUGGACAGCUCCCCCGGAGGACCCGCAGCACCGCGUCCCCGAUUUAAGAUCACAUCCAAGAUGUGUUUGUACAACUCGCGCCAUGGCUCCUAAUGCAUGCUGCUGGCUGUGGGGAACCAUGGAUGGACUGGGACAGCACUUCGAAGUUCUCCCGGUAUGGCUGGAGGUGCACCGCCAAUGAAAACGGCUUCUGAACGACAUUUGUGCUUAGACACAACAGAAUUGUUUUCUGUCAUUUCCUCACUGUUGAGUUGUGCUCCUGCGCCACCACAGAACAGGAUUUGACCAAGAACCUCAUUGGUUUCCAGGCCACCACGCUGAGCUGCACCCUCCUUUGUUCAACCUGCUCAGCCCAGCUACACAAUAGACUACAGGCCUCCCUAUGGCAGCAUUUGCUUGUGUCCAACACUCAGAGGGGAACGAGAAGGAUACAGGAAAAGCAACAGGGAUGGAAAGAAUCUGCAGACCAUGCCUUCAGAAAAACAGGAGGCCUGUCUGCUAGCAGAGCUACGAGGAUGUUCUUCAAGCAAAAAGAUCUGUCACAUAUUAAAGCCAAACGUAGUGUCAUGUGAAAAA
Molecule: long non-coding RNA, 654 nt
Organism: Columba livia (rock pigeon)
Lineage: Eukaryota; Metazoa; Chordata; Aves; Columbiformes; Columbidae
Exons: 3
Source: RefSeq, a predicted model, not a curated record